GGCAUGAGAGAUGCUUUAACUCUUAUUUCGCCAACCUGGCGCCCCCUCCAGUUGUAUUGCCAUAAUGUUAUCAAGCUUAAACUUAUGUGAAGGAUAGGCUGCCUGCCGGUCCCCCUUUCCCAUUUGCUGCCUGUUUGGCUCAUUUUUCUCAGGUUGGAAGAGGCUGCGCGGGCUGCAGAAGGCGCUUUUCAGCGAGUCAAGCGCGCGCGCGCGCACACACACACACACGCUCCGGGCCGUGCUGAUGGGAGCGGGGUGAGGUUUCGCGCCUUUGGAGCACAGCAGCGCGCGAGAGCGGCAGGCAGGUAGUAGGCGGAGCGCUCCGAAGGGCCGCUUGGCGCGUUGUUUUCCCACAGAACGAAGCGCUUUCCCGGUGCUCAGCAACACUUGGCUGAAAACGCUGAAGAGCGUGCGUUCUCCGUUCCGUAAGCCCCUCUUCGCGCGGGAGGCAGUGCUGUCCUCGCGCCUCGUCCUUCGUUUUUCCCGCCAAAAAGAUGAGCGAGCGAGGGGGGCGGCGGCUCGAGCGCGGUGGUGCAUGCCUGAGCGCGCGCCCUUUUGACCACCUAAUCCUACACGCACACACGCUUGCGCAAAGCCUUCACUCGUUUAAGCUCGCCUAUUUGGUUGUUUGGUUAGAGCGCAUUGGCGCCUCAUCACUACGGCACAGCGUCACUUCCUCCCCGCUGCCUCGGAGUAGCGUGUGAGUUGUUUGGUGGACGCUGUCAGUGUACAGUCGCCGCACUUUUUUUUUUAAGAGCCUGAGAAAAGAGGCUGCCCACGCAUGCCUCUCUGAAUGCACGCGGGAGGCGCGCAAAACGUUAACCCACGCGCCCUGUUGAUUCGCCCAGUGUUACUAGACAGAGUUCAGAACAGGGAUAGCGAACCCGAUCUGUUUGGACUCCUAGUCCCAUGAGCCCCAGUCCGCAUUAUCAGUGGCCAGGAAUGGUGGCAGUUGUGCUUCACCCGUAUCUGGAGGACCAGAGGUUCCCCAUCUCUGCUUCAGGAACACGUAUCCAGGGAAUAAAAAGCUGCAACAGAUGCUUUUCUCUGACUUGUGCAAACUAAUUGUAUUAAAUGUUUGCAUAUCGCUCUCAAGCAUUCAAAGCGCUUCACGCUUUGCGACCCUUACAAGUAAGAAUUAUUUUCCCCCGUGUUGCAUGAGGGGAAACUGCUUAGGUUAAAGUUAGCAUAAAUUCAGAGCAGAGAAGAUUUGAACACUGACUUCCUGGUUCAAAACUUGACAGCCUCUAUGCAAGUAAACCCAUAACGUAGCCUUCAGCAACUGCUCAGGCUACCCUCUUUGUGCGGGGGGAGCACCUUAGGUGAGCAUUUCGCGCAUCCACACCAUCAGGAUGCUUGCGCAAAUUUAGCAAUCUGGCACCGAAUGGGGGCAUUUUACAACUCAUCCCUCUUUCGUUUUCUUAAAAGUCCGUUUCUAGUCCUCAAGGGUGUCGGGUAUGUUCUCUCUCGAAAGUACAGAAAUAAUUUUGGCCGGGAGACGACUUGGCGCAUCCGCUCGGCCUCCCAGGAGAGCACCCUUCACCUUCUCUGCAGUCAGUUCAGCAAGCUGCCGCCUCAAAUGCUGCCAAAGCGCCACAUGAAAGACAGGAGAAACAUAAACACCAAGCACACCCCUCUCCAAUGGAGGAGAUGAAUGUGUGCCGGUGUGCACGCCUAUACUGUGACCUGUGCGAUCAUGACAUCUGAGGUAUUAGCCUACUACCCUUAGACACCCCCCCAACCCAUCCGCAGCAACCUCAAGCUGUUCUUCACCUGCUCCACAACAUGAGCCGGCCCUGCGGUCCCUGCACCAGGUUGAAACUAUUGGGGACACGGCACUGAAGCCGCCACUGCUUGAUAUGUGCCGAUUACAGUAUUUAGGAGCAGAAGGCAUCGCCCUGGGGAAAGCCCAGACCAAAACGAGCUCCUUUCUUUGCACGGCUCCGUUUGUUGUCCCUCGCGGCUGUCUCUGUGUGGAAAGGGCGGCCUUUUUUCCCGCGCCCGAGAGAGGCUUCCUCUCUUUUCCAAGUGCCUCAGGCAGUUACAACAGGCGGCAAAAGCGCAACUUAUAUAAUCUAGGAUGAGAGAAACGUCGCCCACCCUGGGCGCACUGGAGACGGGACGCGCCAAUACAGACACCACACCGGUGGAAGGCGCUAUCGGCAUGGGACAGGCCGCGGCCCUCCUACAGCGGGCGGGUAAGUGAAUGGCUCCUCUGCCUCGUUGGCUCUCAGAGCGCGACCCCCCC
This is a non-coding RNA of Podarcis lilfordi (Lilford's wall lizard), 2248 nucleotides long. NCBI's taxonomy places the organism in Eukaryota, Metazoa, Chordata, Lepidosauria, Squamata, Lacertidae. The record is from the annotation of a GenBank genome assembly.